RNAcentral lists this ribosomal RNA (253 nucleotides) under uncultured bacterium. RNAcentral describes it as "partial 16S ribosomal RNA". It matches the Rfam family "Bacterial small subunit ribosomal RNA", at positions 524 to 776 of the family's 1533-position model. The record is from RNAcentral.
UACGUAGGGGGCGAGCGUUAUCCGGAUUUACUGGGUGUAAAGGGAGCGUAGACGGCACUGCAAGUCUGGAGUGAAAGCCCGUGGCCCAACCACGGGACUGCUCUGGAAACUGUGUUGCUGGAGUGCAGGAGGGGUAAGCGGAAUUCCUAGUGUAGCGGUGAAACGCGUAGAUAUUAGGAGGAACACCGGUGGCGAAGGCGGCUUACUGGACUGUAACUGACGUUGAGGCUCGAAGGCGUGGGGAGCAAACAGG